GCACUAAGCAAGGCUAAUACAUAAAUGUAUAUGUGUUAACAUGAUUAGUUUUCACUUAUAAGUAAUAACGUUUAUAGCGACGAGAUAAAUAGCAACGAUUGUAUUGUGUGACGGUAUGUCCGUCUUGAUGGCACGUUGACAUUGUGUUUAUCAUAAUAGAAGAUACAGAACUCUAAAUCUAUAUAUUUUACCAUCAGCUGAUCGUCAUUUGAAACUUGUGGUGUGUGGCGAUUUAUCAAAAUCGUGAAAUCUCAUACAUCAUCUUUAUGGGGAUCUCUUUGAAACGCAGCAAUAGCCGAAGACGAAGUCUUCGACGUACAGAAAGCAAGGAGAGGCAAGCAAGGAACCGCGAAGCUAGACUGAAUGCCGCCAAUAUGCGAAAUACUGACGUAUCGUACGAAGAAAGAGGUCGCCUUAGUGAAAUAGGAUCUGCCCUAAGAGCUAUGGGUGACAAUUUAAACAACAGUCGCUCAAGUGGACUUGAUGAAGCAUCUGGAAACUAGAAGCGUACUUUUGUUAUAAAAUCUCACUUUUAUUAUUUUGUUUCAUCUAUUUGUGUCGUGAUUUGUUGUUGUCCUUUCAGUUUAUUGGAAAGCUUUAGUUAUUUUCACAUUUUCGCUUCAAAAAUAAUAUAACAUAUACUAUAUUCUAAUCAUGUCAUGGAUAGCUUUACAAUAGAACAAUUUUAUGGAUUGAUUGUCUUCAAGUGACGUUCAAUGAGUGAGUUUGUCGGGCUGGUCCGGAAUUCAUUUCUCUUUAAAGUGCGUGAAACUGCACACGCGAUGAAGACAUGACCAAAAUAUUUCUUAAGCAUUGCUCCUAUUCGCGAUAAAAAGUGUCAGAAGAGUAAUAUUGUGUUUUCGUAAAAUAUGUUAUCGUUGAUUACAUAUUUUAACUAUAUUACCUCAAGUAGCAAGCUUUUAUUCGCCGUGCGUGGGCUGGGCCCCACCUAGAACAUUUAGUGAAUGCUUUAAAAAAUGUAAUGUCGUUGUUUAAUCAAUGAUCGUUGAUUAUAGUUUGGUUUAACUAAAUAAAAAACAAGACAACA
This is a long non-coding RNA of Xenia sp. Carnegie-2017, 1048 nucleotides long. RefSeq lists it as uncharacterized. The record is from RefSeq and is a predicted model, not a curated record. The transcript has 2 exons. NCBI's taxonomy places the organism in Eukaryota, Metazoa, Cnidaria, Anthozoa, Malacalcyonacea, Xeniidae.